Mauremys mutica (yellowpond turtle) is the source of this 3325-nucleotide long non-coding RNA. RefSeq lists it as uncharacterized. The record is from RefSeq and is a predicted model, not a curated record. NCBI's taxonomy places the organism in Eukaryota, Metazoa, Chordata, Testudines, Geoemydidae. The transcript is spliced from 6 exons.
GAAGGAAAACUCAUUGCGCAUGCUCACUCCUCUCCCGUCAGCGAGGCGCCUUACACAAGCCGCCAUAGAGCCCGGAGGACCGGGCAGAGAGAGUGGCCCCACUCAUUGGCGAGGCAGCCAUUUUGGAUGGGGCCAAGGAGGGGGGCGGGGCGUUAUCCUGAAGCGGUGGCGAGUGGCCGGUUAAAUCAGAGCGGGGCCAGACUGGACGCGUGCAGCUCCCGGGAAGGCACAAUGGAGUUCUAAAGUCUGCACUCUAUCCUGGGAGACUCAGCAGGGGCUGAAAUCAAAUCUAGGGCAGAGGAAGAAACACCCCCCAAAUUACAAGAUUGAAAUAUCUGGACUAUUUUCUACAUUUGUCACCUACCAGGCACACAGGAAGCAUCUUGCAGCAGUGUGCAUGCCAGACAAAAAGAAUCCACAAGAAUCUUGUAUAGGAAAUGCAUACAAUAUUCAUCAGAUUAUGCAUACUUUCAACCCAGAGAAAUAGCUUCAGUUUAGAUGACAUAGUUGGGCCAACAGAAUUUACAGCAAGCAGUAUUUCCUCCCGAUGGUGACUGGAUCGUUGGGCUGAAGUGGUUCAGCGGCAUUAGAUACAUGCUAUUUCAAGCUGGGAAGAUGAAGAGAGAAGCCUUUGGAAAGCUGAAUGUGGCAUGAAAAGGAAGCACCCUCUCUGCUUAAAAGAAGAAAGUUUUUGACAUCUGAACAUCUAUAACAUAUAGCGCAGGUACCCUGGAAACUCAGCAAGCAGUUGGAACAGUAACUAGGUUGGAUUGCAAACGCAUCUACUUGGGGAGUUGUUCCCAGUAUAUCUGCUGCAUAUAUGUAGAGAGUGUGUGUGUGUGUGUGCGUGUGUGCGCAUGCGAGCAAUGCACACAUUAGCUACAUGAUACUACAUAUAUGCAGCAGAUACGCCAACUACUUGGUGAGUUUCCAGCAUAUGUAUGUAAGUCUAACUUACGAACACAUGGGGAAAAACAGCACAACAAACCUAGAUAAACAGGUCAAAGAGCAAAAUGAAAAUGAAGAACAUCUCGAAGACAUGGAAAAAACUGAAGUGCCAGUAGUCUGGGUCCAUAUUUUAAAGAAUAACAUUGUUAGCAAAGAAGCUGAAGAGAUGAUCUGAGGCCCAUGGUCAACCUUGGACAGAUAACACCACAGGUUAAAGAGAGACUUUUGUCCUCAAAGGACCUGAUCAAGGCAGUUAAUAAUAAACUUAAGUCUGAAUUUAUUUAUAUUUUGUAAAAUUGAACAGUGAGCCAGCAUCUUUUCCCAGGCAGAGCCCCGGCUUGCCAAGAUUCAGCACAGAAAGUACUUUUUAUAGUCUAGUUGGAGAUGCUGCAACUCACUAUAAUGGGCUCUGCACUUUUAUAACCAUCUCUUAAUUAAUGCGACAUCUUAGGCAAGUCAGCAUUUCCUUCUUUAAAUGAUGCUAUUCAACUUGUUCUCCCUCAAUCACUAUUUGGGUUUGCAGAAGUACUGCCAAGAUCUAACACGAACUUAAUAGUUGGAUGGGAUUUUUUUUUUAAAUCCUUCCAUAUUUUCUGAUGACACCAUGCUAAGCAAAUGGCCACACACUAAGCCAACCCCUUGCUGCCCUUACUCAAGCGAUACUACUGACCACAGCAUCUCCUCCAUUGGCUUUGGUGGAAUUCAUCACAGGACUUGGCCCAACGGAUUUAAACUCCCACAAUCACUACCAUAGUUUACCACCUCCCUACACCCACAGACUGAGUGAGACCUAUUCACUGCUGAGUAUAACAUCCCAUUUUAUAAUCUCCUGUGUAAGUGUGUGUCAUGCAUGCACACUUGGAGAGUUCAUUGCAAUUACCUGGUUCAAAUUCUGAUAUUUCUGCAGCUCUUGUGCCUUCCUUAGACAAAGAUGGGAAGAAGGAUUGAUGAAGACACGAGACUGGGAGAUCAGGGUUCUAUUCCUGCUUUGUACUUCCUCUGUGAUCUUAGUCAAGUCACUACCUCUGUGUACUGUAGUUUCCUACUGUGUAAAAUAUGGCUAAUACUAAUUCCCUUCCUCAUAUUGAGGAUUAAUUGUAUAUCAAGAAAUUUAAUAUAAUCAUAUAGAUGGCACCAUAUUAAUUCAAAAUCCUGUUGGUAAACCAGAUUCAGAGCUCACAUGUAAAUAGCUGCAAUGCUAUUUCAAAUAUAUCAAUAAUAUUGUAAUUUUACACUAAGGAGAACAUCUUUGCUUCACACAAACAUUCUUACGAUUGCAUCAUGUAUAUUUAUUAAGAGAAGCAAGUUGUACACGUAUUAGUAGGCGUAAUACGUUUAAGAAACACUCUUGAAUAGAUUUCAAUCCAAAAUUUAGGCUUAAUAAAUACCAGGUUUUUACAAAGUCUAAUAUCAAGAGAACACUUUAUUUUUUAUUUAUUAGCUUCAAUUAAAACAGUUUUUUAAUUUAAAUUCCCCCCCAGUGUUUUCAACCUGAAAAAUGCACCAUUGUGCUAGUACAUGAGAGCCAGAAAGUAACAUGGAUUAGAAACUGAUGAGAAUCAAAAGUUGAACUGGUCUAUAUUCAUUGUCCAAGAUCAGUGAAGUGCAAAAAGUAAUCAAUCAGCCUCAAUAGUGAAAAGAAAAUUAGAUUAUUAAAACUGAAAGAGUUUUAAAACCUAUCUAAGGGGUUCAGAUUUUUAACGAGAGAGUGCCCCUUCUAAUCUGAUUUAUUAGAGUAAGCUAUGGAUAUAGAUACUAAUGAAGAGGAGUUAUUCGCAUACAAAGAAACAAACCUUUGGAGUAACAUUUCUUGGUGUCCAAAAAUAAGGUGAAAAGUAAAUUAUGCUAUUUUCCCAGGUGCCAGUUAAUUAUGCCAAGCUGCAGUGUCAAAAACUGACACCAUCCUAUACGGACCGUUAUUGUUCACCCUCAUUUUCUCCUUUUUAACUCUUGUGUAUAAAUUACAAUCAAGACUCUCCUCCAUGCUUCCACUAAAGGGAACUGCUUUAGGGAGGAUGCAUGACUCGGACUAAAGCCUAGCGGAGAACAAUUGUCAUCUGUCAAACUGUAUGCUACAGUUCCUCAGUUUAUCCACUGACCCCAACACACGGCUGGCCUGCUAUUUAUCACUCCAAGCUGCAACACUAUAGAGAAACAAAGUUCAGACAAAGAGAGAAAAAUCAAAUGUUGCAUCAAUUUAAAGCCCCCUCCAACCUACUACAACCAUCCCUGGUUCCAAUAAGCCUAUUGCAAAUUAUGGUCCAAAUUCUCCUCAAGUUUACAAUGGUGUAACACUGGAGUAGCUCCACUGACACCAACGUAACUGAGAGCAGAAUAUGCCCCUCUCUGUUUAAAAGGUAUUUUACAUGUUAUCAUC